CCUACGGGAGGCAGCAGUGGGGAAUAUUGGACAAUGGGCGCAAGCCUGAUCCAGCCAUACCGCGUGGGUGAAGAAGGCCUUCGGGUUGUAAAGCCCUUUUGUUGGGAAAGAAAUCCAGCCGGCUAAUACCUGGUUGGGAUGACGGUACCCAAAGAAUAAGCACCGGCUAACUUCGUGCCAGCAGCCGCGGUAAUACGAAGGGUGCAAGCGUUACUCGGAAUUACUGGGCGUAAAGCGUGCGUAGGUGGUUAUUUAAGUCCGUUGUGAAAGCCCUGGGCUCAACCUGGGAACUGCAGUGGAUACUGGAUGACUAGAAUGUGGUAGAGGGUAGCGGAAUUCCUGGUGUAGCAGUGAAAUGCGUAGAGAUCAGGAGGAACAUCCAUGGCGAAGGCAGCUACCUGGACCAACAUUGACACUGAGGCACGAAAGCGUGGGGAGCAAACAGGAUUAGAUACCCUGGUAGUCCACGCCCUAAACGAUGCGAACUGGAUGUUGGGUGCAAUUUGGCACGCAGUAUCGAAGCUAACGCGUUAAGUUCGCCGCCUGGGGAGUACGGUCGCAAGCUGAACCUUAAAGAAUUGACGGCUGAGACGNGCGAGACGACGACGAGGGAGGAGG
RNAcentral lists this ribosomal RNA (618 nucleotides) under uncultured bacterium. RNAcentral describes it as "bacterial SSU rRNA". It matches the Rfam family "Bacterial small subunit ribosomal RNA", at positions 338 to 948 of the family's 1533-position model. The record is from RNAcentral.